CCUACGGGAGGCAGCAGUGAGGAAUAUUGGUCAAUGGGCUUACGCCUGAACCAGCCAAGUCGCGUGAGGGAAGACUGCCCUAUGGGUUGUAAACCUCUUUUGUCAGGGAGCAACGCCGGCUACGUGUAGCCGGACUGAGAGUACCUGAAGAAAAAGCAUCGGCUAACUCCGUGCCAGCAGCCGCGGUAAUACGGAGGAUGCGAGCGGUAUCCGGAUUUAUUGGGUUUAAAGGGUGCGUAGGCGGAAUGCCAAGUCAGCGGUAAAGUCGCGGGGCUCAACCUCGCUCCGCCGUUGAAACUGGCGUUCUUGAGUGGGCGAGAAGUAUGCGGAAUGCGUGGUGUAGCGGUGAAAUGCAUAGAUAUCACGCAGAACUACGAUUGCGAAGGCAGCAUACCGGCGCCCAACUGACGCUGAAGCACGAAAGCGUGGGUAUCGAACAGGAUUAGAUACCCGAGUAGUC
RNAcentral lists this ribosomal RNA (460 nucleotides) under uncultured bacterium. Its description in RNAcentral is "partial 16S ribosomal RNA". It matches the Rfam family "Bacterial small subunit ribosomal RNA", at positions 338 to 795 of the family's 1533-position model. The record is from RNAcentral.